UCUGUGACCAAGAGAAGAGAGCCAGCAUCUGAAAUCUGACAUCGCUGGGUGGACAAAAGUAUCUGAAGAUGGGAAACAGAAUGCUUGGGGGACUGGCAAGCCAAAGGAACUGUUGACUGCAUUUUACUGAUGAAAAGUGACUGAUUGAGCCCAUUCCCUCAUGGAUGAAGAUGGAGUCAAUCAAGAAAAAUGGCAUCUUUAUGAACAAUGAAUGUGAACAUUUAACUUGGAAGAACUGAUAUCGAAGGAUCAAAAAGUGAUGUGGUUAUAAACACUUGGCCACCACAAGCCAAAAUGGUAGAGAUGGUACCAGUUCUCUGUACUCAAAGAAUAUAUCUCUCUGUCCAAGAACCCCUUAUCUGCUCAGACAAAAGACACAUGUUUUCUACUAAAAGACUCAUGUUUCCAUCAAGUAGUGUAUCUGCUUGCCUGAGCUUGAGAUCUCAGAGGACAUGCUGGUUCUGCAGCUACAAGAGUGGAGCCUCCACUAACCACAGGAGCAGAGUUCCCAUCAGCCACAACCCUCAGCGGAAGAUUCACACUUACCUAUACCUACCCCAGUGGAAAGGCAUUAGCACAAAGAAAGUUGGAGAUGCUUGCAGCUUUUAUACAGGAAGCACCACCAAUUGGGGAGUAACCUGCGAGACCUGGAUGAGCUAUAAGUAACCCAAAAGUUCCACUGGACAAAUGCUGCUGAAGAGACAACCAACCUUCUUGGUUGAAGCAACGUUGGAACUGUGUUCUGUGACUGCUUGCUUGUUUGCCUUGAACUCUGUCUGAACUUCUGACUACUCUUUGGACUGCUUGCCUUGGAUUGUGUACUGAACUGUGGGCAACUUGGACCAGACUGUACUACCUCUUUUUCUUAGUUAACAUCUUGGUGAGUUCUGACUCUCUCCCUGUAACUGUGAAAGGCUGUGCUUUUGGACGUUAUCAGACAAGGGAAAUUGGAAGUAUAAUCCAAUGGCAAUCGGAACUCA
Long non-coding RNA from Sceloporus undulatus (fence lizard), 980 nucleotides. RefSeq lists it as uncharacterized. The record is from RefSeq and is a predicted model, not a curated record. NCBI's taxonomy places the organism in Eukaryota, Metazoa, Chordata, Lepidosauria, Squamata, Phrynosomatidae. The transcript is spliced from 3 exons.